AAAGCAAGGAUGUGGUCGCGUCAUUUAUUCAUUUUUAUGUGUAUAGUGUACGUGUUAAAGGUGCUUGGUAGAUAAAUAAUUUAUGGUGAGAACUAAACUUUAUAUACCAGUUAAUUCAAACAUAUAAGUAAACCUCGAGGGAAGAUUGUUCCCCAUAACUUAUAUGCACAAAAAGAAAUUACAAAUAUUCUAAGUGGUGAUUUUCACCUUUUAUAUGGUCUCAAUUACUGGACAGUCUUAGCCUUAGUGGAUAGAGCUGGAAGGGUCCUUGGAUGAGGAUGUCUGUAUGCAGUCAAUACCCAAAAGACUAUCAAGGAAUGCAUUACAAACAAAAAAUAGCACACACAAGAUGUAUACCUAUGCACAACCAAGAAAUUUGUUUUGAAUUUUGUUUUUCAAAUGCAAUACCAUAUAUAAUAACAAAUUAUGUAUCAAUUGAAUUGAAGGAUGUACAAAAUUUAUAGAUUAUAUGAUUUAUACAAUAAAUCACGUGAAAAGUAAAGAA
Long non-coding RNA from Anthonomus grandis grandis, 505 nucleotides. RefSeq lists it as uncharacterized. The transcript has 3 exons. NCBI's taxonomy places the organism in Eukaryota, Metazoa, Arthropoda, Insecta, Coleoptera, Curculionidae. The record is from RefSeq and is a predicted model, not a curated record.